UACGGAGGGUGCGAGCGUUAAUCGGAAUUACUGGGCGUAAAGCGCGCGUAGGCGGUUUGGUCAGUUGGAUGUGAAAGCCCAGGGCUCAACCUUGGAACUGCAUCCAAUACUGCCAGGCUAGAGUACAGUAGAGGGGGGUGGAAUUCCUAGUGUAGCGGUGAAAUGCGUAGAUAUUAGGAGGAACAUCAGUGGCGAAGGCGGCCCCCUGGACUGAUACUGACGCUGAGGUGCGAAAGCGUGGGUAGCGAACAGG
This 253-nucleotide ribosomal RNA is filed under the name uncultured bacterium. Its description in RNAcentral is "partial 16S ribosomal RNA". It matches the Rfam family "Bacterial small subunit ribosomal RNA", at positions 524 to 776 of the family's 1533-position model. The record is from RNAcentral.